UAAUACCAGCAGCUCAAGUGGUGAUCGUUUUUAUUGGGCCUAAAGCGUCCGUAGCCUGUUUGGUAAACCCUUGGGUAAAUCGGGCAGCUUAACUGUCCGAAUUCUGAGGAGACUGCCAGACUUGGGACCGGGAGAGGUCAGAGGUACUCUUAGGGUAGGGGUGAAAUCCUGUAAUCCUAAGAGGACCACCAGUGGCGAAGGCGUCUGACUAGAACGGGUCUGACGGUAAGGGACGAAGCCCUGGGUCACGAACCGGAUUAGAUACCCGGGUAGUCCAGGGUGUAAACGCUGCGGGCUUGGUGUUGGGGGUCCUACGAGGGCAUCCAGUGCCGGAGAGAAGUUGUUAAGCCCGCCGCCUGGGGAGUACGAUCGCAAGAUUG
Molecule: ribosomal RNA, 380 nt
Filed under: uncultured Thermoplasmata archaeon
Lineage: Archaea; Methanobacteriati; Thermoplasmatota; Thermoplasmata
Description: bacterial SSU rRNA
Rfam family: Archaeal small subunit ribosomal RNA
Source: RNAcentral